Molecule: ribosomal RNA, 156 nt
Filed under: Pseudostellaria davidii
Lineage: Eukaryota; Viridiplantae; Streptophyta; Magnoliopsida; Caryophyllales; Caryophyllaceae
Description: 5.8S ribosomal RNA
Rfam family: 5.8S ribosomal RNA
About the family: 5.8S ribosomal RNA (5.8S rRNA) is a component of the large subunit of the eukaryotic ribosome. It is transcribed by RNA polymerase I as part of the 45S precursor that also contains 18S and 28S rRNA.
Source: RNAcentral
AACGACUCUCGGCAACGGAUAUCUCGGCUCUCGCAUCGAUGAAGAACGUAGCGAAAUGCGAUACUUGGUGUGAAUUGCAGAAUCCCGUGAACCAUCGAGUCUUUGAACGCAAGUUGCGCCCGAGGCCUUUGGCUAAGGGCACGUCUGCCUGGGCGU